This 500-nucleotide ribosomal RNA is filed under the name uncultured bacterium. Its description in RNAcentral is "partial 16S ribosomal RNA". It matches the Rfam family "Bacterial small subunit ribosomal RNA", at positions 30 to 523 of the family's 1533-position model. The record is from RNAcentral.
AUUGAACGCUGGCGGAAUGCUUUACACAUGCAAGUCGAACGGCAGCACGGUCUUCGGUCUGGUGGCGAGUGGCGAACGGGUGAGUAAUGUAUCGGAACGUGCCCAGUCGUGGGGGAUAACGUAGUGAAAAUUACGCUAAUACCGCAUACGAUCUAUGGAUGAAAGCGGGGGAUCGCAAGACCUCGCGCGAUUGGAGCGGCCGAUAUCAGAUUAGGUAGUUGGUGGGGUAAAGGCCCACCAAGCCAACGAUCUGUAGCUGGUCUGAGAGGACGACCAGCCAAACUGGAACUGAGACACGGUCCAGACUCCUACGGGAGGCAGCAGUGGGGAAUUUUGGACAAUGGGCGAAAGCCUGAUCCAGCCAUUCCGCGUACAGGAUGAAGGCCCUCGGGUUGUAAACUGCUUUUGUACAGAGCGAAAAGGUUUCUACUAAUACUAGGAGCUCAUGACGGUACUGUAAGAAUAAGCACCGGCUAACUACGUGCCAGCCGCCGCGGUAA